ACGAACGCUGGCGGCGUGCUUAACACAUGCAAGUCGAACGAUGAAGCCCUUCGGGGUGGAUUAGUGGCGAACGGGUGAGUAACACGUGGGCAAUCUGCCCUUCACUCUGGGACAAGCCCUGGAAACGGGGUCUAAUACCGGAUACCACUCCUGCCUGCAUGGGNAGGGGUUGAAAGCUCCGGCGGUGAAGGAUGAGCCCGCGGCCUAUCAGCUUGUUGGUGGGGUAAUGGCCCACCAAGGCGACGACGGGUAGCCG
This 256-nucleotide ribosomal RNA is filed under the name Streptomyces sp. ISOM529_OTU4111. Its description in RNAcentral is "partial 16S ribosomal RNA". It matches the Rfam family "Bacterial small subunit ribosomal RNA", at positions 29 to 289 of the family's 1533-position model. Lineage: Bacteria; Bacillati; Actinomycetota; Actinomycetes; Kitasatosporales; Streptomycetaceae. The record is from RNAcentral.